Mangifera indica (mango) is the source of this 833-nucleotide long non-coding RNA. RefSeq lists it as uncharacterized. The record is from RefSeq and is a predicted model, not a curated record. Lineage: Eukaryota; Viridiplantae; Streptophyta; Magnoliopsida; Sapindales; Anacardiaceae. The transcript is spliced from 2 exons.
AUGAAUGAGUCGUCUUCCACGGUUUUCCACCUGCCCCACUUCCACAGAACCCAAAGUCGUCUGCUUUUGCCUCUCAUUCACUCUGAACCCUAUCACACACUUACUUCUUCCCGUCGCUCUAUAUAACUUCACUUCACCACUACUUCUUCUCUCAUGUUCUAAAUCAGGUCAAAGAUUUGGAGGAAAGACACUAGGCUCAGCAAGUUCUUGGUUAUGGGAGGACAGGCAAGAGAAAUAUAUUUGAAAAAAAAUUGUUUUUAUUUAUUUUUUUUUUCAACUUUUGUUUCGAUAUUUCUCUUGCCAACUCCGCCCAUACCUAUGAUUUGCUGAGCUUCUGUUUCUUUCCUGAACGUCCAAGUCUGGUAUUAAUGGAUUGCUUGGUUUUAUUGGCUGGAUGAGGAUUGGAUUUGAAUCGGAGUUGCCUUGCUCAAUUGUCAAUACGAAAGGAGUUCCCCUUAAUGGUAGAGUCAAAAAGGCUGUUCCUCUAACGGCCCUUCGAGGCCACAAGGGACUGGUUGGGUCUUGAGUCUAAAGGGAAAUCUGAUUUCUGUGGCGUUUUCGCUGCACUUCGUUGGCUGACAGAAUUCAUAUGGAUUUUGAUCAUUGUUUAUAGCUGAUGUUGUUUUGGUUAUUGAUGAGUAAGGUAAAAGAAGGAAGAGGAUGAUAAAGGGCACCAGAGACAUGCAGAGAAAUUGAGUGAAAAACCAGACUUGGAAAAUAGAGUUUCAAAUUUACCUUACGACAAAGCACUAUUAGUAUCAAUUGUAUUAUUUUAAAAUUAAUGUUGUUGAUAAAUUUUUUGGAUUCUUGAAUGUGAUAUUCUAUUUUUUAUA